CGGUGUUUAACUGGCGUGAUGUGGGACGUCCUACCGGUGGGCUUAGCCUCGCGAGGGGCGGCCCAACUAAUAUCCCGUCGCGGUGCUCUUUACUGAGUGUCGAGUCGGGCCGGUACGUUUACUUUGAACAAAUUAGAGUGCUUAAAGCAGGCUAUCCUCGCCUGAAUACUGCGUGCAUGGAAUAAUGGAAUAAGACCUCGGUUCUAUUUUGUUGGUUUUCGGAACCCCGAGGUAAUGAUUAAUAGGGACAGAUGGGGGCAUUCGUAUUGCGACGUUAGAGGUGAAAUUCUUGGAUCGUCGCAAGACGGACAGAAGCGAAAGCAUUUGCCAAAAAUGUUUUCAUUAAUCAAGAACGAAAGUUAGAGGUUUGAAGGCGAUCAUAUACCGCCCUAGUUCUAACCAUAAACGAUGCCAGCUAGAGAUCUGCGGAAGUUCCUCCGAUGACUCGGCGGGCAGCUUCCGGGAAACCAAAGCUUUUGGGUUCCGGGGAGAAGUAUGGUUGCAAAGCUGAAACUUAAAGAGAGUUGACGGAAGGGCACCCCCCGGAGUGGAGCCUGCGGCUUAAUUUGACUCAACACGGGAAACCUCACCAGGCCCAGACACCGGAAGGAUUGACAGAUUGAUAGCUCUUUCUUGAUUCGGUGGGGGGUGGUGCAUGGCCGUUUUUAGUUGGUGGAGAGAUUUGUCUGGUUAAUUCCGAUAACGAACGAGACUCUAGCCUGCUAAAUAGGCGUACCUUAUGGUAUUGUGAAGGCCCCCGGCUUCGGCCGGUGGGUUUUUACUACCAACGUACAAACAAAUAUUUUUUGAGGGACAGGCGG
RNAcentral lists this ribosomal RNA (821 nucleotides) under uncultured eukaryote. RNAcentral's name for it is "SSU rRNA". It matches the Rfam family "Eukaryotic small subunit ribosomal RNA", at positions 629 to 1426 of the family's 1831-position model. The record is from RNAcentral.